Molecule: ribosomal RNA, 465 nt
Filed under: uncultured bacterium
Lineage: Bacteria
Description: partial 16S ribosomal RNA
Rfam family: Bacterial small subunit ribosomal RNA
Source: RNAcentral
CCUACGGGAGGCAGCAGUGGGGAAUAUUGCGCAAUGGGCGAAAGCCUGACGCAGCGACGCCGCGUGAGGGAUGAAGGUCUUCGGAUCGUAAACCUCUGUCAGCAGGGAAGAACGGUCACUGUGCUAAUCAGCAGUGAAUUGACGGUACCUGCAAAGAAAGCACCGGCUAACUCCGUGCCAGCAGCCGCGGUAAUACGGCGGGUGCGAGCGUUAAUCGGAAUUACUGGGCGUAAAGCGCUCGUAGGCGGUAUGUCAAGUCAAGGGUGAAAUCCCCGCGCUCAACGUGGGAACUGCCGUUGAAACUGGGAAACUGGAGUGUGUGAGAGGAUAGUGGAAUUCCAGGUGUAGGAGUGAAAUCCGUAGAUAUCUGGAGGAACAUCAGUGGCGAAGGCGACUAUCUGGAACAUAACUGACGCUGAGGAGCGAAAGCGUGGGUAGCAAACAGGAUUAGAUACCCGGGUAGUC